RNAcentral lists this ribosomal RNA (1343 nucleotides) under uncultured bacterium. RNAcentral's name for it is "16S ribosomal RNA". It matches the Rfam family "Bacterial small subunit ribosomal RNA", at positions 28 to 1378 of the family's 1533-position model. The record is from RNAcentral.
GACGAACGCUGUCGGCAUGCUUAACACAUGCAAGUCGAACGGAAAGGCCCUGCUUUUGCGGGGUGCUCGAGUGGCGAACGGGUGAGUAACACGUGAGUAACCUGCCCUUGACUUUGGGAUAACUUCAGGAAACUGGGGCUAAUACCGGAUAGGAGCUCCUGCUGCAUGGUGGGGGUUGGAAAGUUUCGGCGGUUGGGGAUGGACUCGCGGCUUAUCAGCUUGUUGGUGGGGUAGUGGCUUACCAAGGCUUUGACGGGUAGCCGGCCUGAGAGGGUGACCGGCCACAUUGGGACUGAGAUACGGCCCAGACUCCUACGGGAGGCAGCAGUGGGGAAUAUUGCACAAUGGGCGGAAGCCUGAUGCAGCAACGCCGCGUGCGGGAUGACGGCCUUCGGGUUGUAAACCGCUUUCGCCUGUGACGAAGCGUGAGUGACGGUAAUGGGUAAAGAAGCACCGGCUAACUACGUGCCAGCAGCCGCGGUGAUACGUAGGGUGCGAGCGUUGUCCGGAUUUAUUGGGCGUAAAGGGCUCGUAGGUGGUUGAUCGCGUCGGAAGUGUAAUCUUGGGGCUUAACCCUGAGCGUGCUUUCGAUACGGGUUGACUUGAGGAAGGUAGGGGAGAAUGGAAUUCCUGGUGGAGCGGUGGAAUGCGCAGAUAUCAGGAGGAACACCAGUGGCGAAGGCGGUUCUCUGGGCCUUUCCUGACGCUGAGGAGCGAAAGCGUGGGGAGCGAACAGGCUUAGAUACCCUGGUAGUCCACGCUGUAAACGGUGGGUACUAGGUGUGGGGUCCAUUCCACGGGUUCCGUGCCGUAGCUAACGCUUUAAGUACCCCGCCUGGGGAGUACGGCCGCAAGGCUAAAACUCAAAGGAAUUGACGGGGCCCCGCACAAGCGGCGGAGCAUGCGGAUUAAUUCGAUGCAACGCGUAGAACCUUACCUGGGUUUGACAUGGAUCGGGAGUGCUCAGAGAUGGGUGUGCCUCUUUUGGGGUCGGUUCACAGGUGGUGCAUGGCUGUCGUCAGCUCGUGUCGUGAGAUGUUGGGUUAAGUCCCGCAACGAGCGCAACCCUUGUUCACUGUUGCCAGCACGUUAUGGUGGGGACUCAGUGGAGACCGCCGGGGUCAACUCGGAGGAAGGUGGGGAUGACGUCAAGUCAUCAUGCCCCUUAUGUCCAGGGCUUCACGCAUGCUACAAUGGCUGGUACAGAGAGUGGCGAGCCUGUGAGGGUGAGCGAAUCUCGGAAAGCCGGUCUCAGUUCGGAUUGGGGUCUGCAACUCGACCUCAUGAAGUCGGAGUCGCUAGUAAUCGCAGAUCAGCAACGCUGCGGUGAAUACGUUCCCGGG